GCUGGGUGUGACGGUAGACACCUGUAAUCCCAGCUACUUGGGAGGCUGAGGCAGGAGAAUUACAAGUUCAAGGCCAGCCUGGGCCCCCUGGCUAGAUCCUGUGUCAA
RNAcentral lists this small RNA (107 nucleotides) under Marmota monax (woodchuck). Lineage: Eukaryota; Metazoa; Chordata; Mammalia; Rodentia; Sciuridae. The record is from RNAcentral.